Molecule: microRNA precursor, 207 nt
Filed under: Oryza glumipatula
Lineage: Eukaryota; Viridiplantae; Streptophyta; Magnoliopsida; Poales; Poaceae
Description: MIR812 microRNA precursor family
Rfam family: MIR812 microRNA precursor family
Source: Rfam by way of RNAcentral
AAUAAGUGCAGCUGUAGAUAUUCAUGCCCAACGUUUGACCGUCCGUCUUAUUUAAAAAUUUGUGAAAAAAUUAAAAAUAUUUAGUCACACAUAAAAUACUAUUCAUGUUUUAUCAUCUAGUAGCAAUAAAAAUACUAAUCAUAAAAUUUUUUUAAAUAAGACGAACGAUCAAAUAUUGAACAUGAAUAGUGUAAAACUACACUUAUU